CCUACGGGCGGCUGCAGUGGGGAAUAUUGCACAAUGGGCGCAAGCCUGAUGCAGCCAUGCCGCGUGUGUGAAGAAGGCCUUCGGGUUGUAAAGCACUUUCAGCGGGGAGGAAGGCGGUGAGGUUAAUAACCUCAUCGAUUGACGUUACCCGCAGAAGAAGCACCGGCUAACUCCGUGCCAGCAGCCGCGGUAAUACGGAGGGUGCAAGCGUUAAUCGGAAUUGCUGGGCGUAAAGCGCACGCAGGCGGUCUGUCAAGUCGGAUGUGAAAUCCCCGGGCUCAACCUGGGAACUGCAUUCGAAACUGGCAGGCUAGAGUCUUGUAGAGGGGGGUAGAAUUCCAGGUGUAGCGGUGAAAUGCGUAGAGAUCUGGAGGAAUACCGGUGGCGAAGGCGGCCCCCUGGACAAAGACUGACGCUCAGGUGCGAAAGCGUGGGGAGCAAACAGGAUUAGAUACCCGGGUAGUC
This 465-nucleotide ribosomal RNA is filed under the name uncultured Klebsiella sp. RNAcentral's name for it is "bacterial SSU rRNA". It matches the Rfam family "Bacterial small subunit ribosomal RNA", at positions 338 to 795 of the family's 1533-position model. Lineage: Bacteria; Pseudomonadati; Pseudomonadota; Gammaproteobacteria; Enterobacterales; Enterobacteriaceae. The record is from RNAcentral.